This is a long non-coding RNA of Etheostoma cragini (Arkansas darter), 160 nucleotides long. RefSeq lists it as uncharacterized. The transcript has 3 exons. The record is from RefSeq and is a predicted model, not a curated record. Lineage: Eukaryota; Metazoa; Chordata; Actinopteri; Perciformes; Percidae.
ACUUUAGAAAAAAUAAACCCUCUGCUCCGACAUCCCAUUGUUAAGACCAUAGCUAGGCUUUUGUGGAUCACCUCCCAUUAACUAAAAUCUGAAUCAACAAUAACAAGCUAAAUUACUUUUCUCUAGCUUAUUAACACAUUUAAAUCAGCCAAGAUGAUAC